CGUGUAGGCGGAUUAAUAAGUUUGAAGUGAAAUCCUAUAGCUUAACUAUAGAACUGCUUUGAAAACUGUUAAUCUAGAAUGUGGGAGAGGUAGAUGGAAUUUCUGGUGUAGGGGUAAAUCCGUAGAGAUCAGAAGGAAUACCGAUUGCGAAGGCGAUCUACUGGAACAUUAUUGACGCUGAGAUGCGAAAGCGUGGGGAGCAAACA
RNAcentral lists this ribosomal RNA (206 nucleotides) under uncultured Arcobacter sp. RNAcentral's name for it is "partial 16S ribosomal RNA". It matches the Rfam family "Bacterial small subunit ribosomal RNA", at positions 568 to 774 of the family's 1533-position model. Lineage: Bacteria; Pseudomonadati; Campylobacterota; Epsilonproteobacteria; Campylobacterales; Arcobacteraceae. The record is from RNAcentral.